CCUAACACAUGCAAGUCGAACGGACAAUUAUUUAUAGCCUCUGGCUAUAGGAAAUUGUUAGUGGCAGACGGGUGAGUAAUGCGUAGGAAUCUACCUAGUAGUACGGAAUAGCCAUUAGAAAUGGUGGGUAAUACUGUAUAAUCCCCGAGGGGGAAAGAUUUAUCGCUAUUAGAUGAGCCUACGUUAGAUUAGCUAGUUGGUGAGGUAAUGGCUUACCAAGGCUAUGAUCUAUAGCUGGUCUGAGAGGACGAUCAGCCACACUGGAACUGAGAUACGGUCCAGACUCCUACGGGAGGCAGCAGUGGGGAAUAUUGGACAAUGGGCGAAAGCCUGAUCCAGCUAUGCCGCGUGAGUGAAGAAGGCCUUCGGGUUGUAAAACUCUUUCAAUAGGGAAGAUAAUGACGGUACCUAUAGAAGA
This 418-nucleotide ribosomal RNA is filed under the name Ehrlichia canis. Its description in RNAcentral is "bacterial SSU rRNA". It matches the Rfam family "Bacterial small subunit ribosomal RNA", at positions 47 to 488 of the family's 1533-position model. The record is from RNAcentral. Lineage: Bacteria; Pseudomonadati; Pseudomonadota; Alphaproteobacteria; Rickettsiales; Anaplasmataceae.